AAAUUGAAGAGUUUGAUCAUGGCUCAGAUUGAACGCUGGCGGCAGGCCUAACACAUGCAAGUCGAACGGUAACAGGAAACAGCUUGCUGUUUCGCUGACGAGUGGCGGACGGGUGAGUAAUGUCUGGGAAACUGCCUGAUGGAGGGGGAUAACUACUGGAAACGGUAGCUAAUACCGCAUAACGUUGCAAGACCAAAGAGGGGGACCUUCGGGCCUCUUG
RNAcentral lists this ribosomal RNA (220 nucleotides) under Escherichia coli. Its description in RNAcentral is "partial 16S ribosomal RNA". It matches the Rfam family "Bacterial small subunit ribosomal RNA", at positions 1 to 217 of the family's 1533-position model. Lineage: Bacteria; Pseudomonadati; Pseudomonadota; Gammaproteobacteria; Enterobacterales; Enterobacteriaceae. The record is from RNAcentral.